GUACACGCUGUGACUAGCAUAUCAAUAAGCGGAGGAAAAGAAACUAACAAGGAUUCCCCUAGUAACGGCGAGUGAAGCGGGAAGAGCUCAAAUUUGAAAUCUUAAAGGGUUUCCCUUUACGAAUUGUAGUUUAAAGAAGUGUUUUCUGUUGAGGUUUUGGUAAAAGUUCUUUGGAAUAGGACAUCAUUAGAGGGUGAGAAUCCCGUAUUUGACCUUUACUUUCAACUUUGUGAUACACUUUCAAAGAGUCGGAUUGUUUGGGAAUGCAGUCCAAAAUGGGUGGUAAAUUUCAUCUAAAGCUAAAUAUUGGCGAGAGACCGAUAGCGAACAAGUACCGUGAGGGAAAGAUGAAAAGAACUUUGAAAAGAGAGUUAAACAGUACGUGAAAUUGUCAAAAGGGAAGCGUUUGACACCAGUGUUGUUUUUCUGAAAAUCAAUUAAAGAACUGUUUAUGCUAAGCUGUUUAGACUUUAUCAGCUAUACUGUUUAGUUUUGAGCUUUUCUUUAAUGCACUUUUCAGUUAACAAGUCAACAUCGAUUUCUUUUGCUGUAAAAAAGCUUGAGGAAGGUGGCUUGAGAUUCGUCUUAAGUGUUUAUAGCCUCUUGCCUAUGCAGUCGGAGAGAUUGAGGUCUGCAGCGUAGAUCCUUCGGGGCUAAAUGCAUUUGUGCUAAGUUAUAGCAUUUUAUAGACAACUUGUUGACUAUGAUUUGUCUUGUAGCUUACUCGCUUAUGUUAUUUUACCUACGCUUAGGAUGUUGACGCGCGUGUGUGCGUG
This 776-nucleotide ribosomal RNA is filed under the name uncultured Neocallimastigales. RNAcentral describes it as "partial large subunit ribosomal RNA". It matches the Rfam family "Eukaryotic large subunit ribosomal RNA", at positions 22 to 639 of the family's 3401-position model. Lineage: Eukaryota; Fungi; Neocallimastigomycota; Neocallimastigomycetes; Neocallimastigales. The record is from RNAcentral.